RNAcentral lists this ribosomal RNA (606 nucleotides) under Calopteron sp. UPOL A00631. RNAcentral's name for it is "partial 16S ribosomal RNA". It matches the Rfam family "Archaeal large subunit ribosomal RNA", at positions 1906 to 2789 of the family's 2987-position model. The record is from RNAcentral. Lineage: Eukaryota; Metazoa; Arthropoda; Insecta; Coleoptera; Lycidae.
CAUGGCUUUUUAGAUUAUAAUAAAAAGUCUGUUCUGCUCAGUGAUUAUUUAAAUAGCCGCAGUAUAUUAACUGUGCAAAGGUAGCAUAAUAAUUAGUUUCUUAAUUAGGGGCUGGAAUGAAUGAUUGAACGAAAGUGUAGCUGUCUUUAUCUGAAGGAUUAUUGAAUUUUAUUAUUAAGUUAGAAAGCUUAAAUUUUUUUAAAAGACGAGAAGACCCUAUAGAGUUUAAUAGUUUUGUUUUACUAAAUAUUAGUAAUUUUUUUAAAAUAAUAUUAUUUAGUUGGGGUGACUUAAAGAUUGAGAAAAUUCUUUAAUUGUUUUAUUGAUGAUUAUUAAAUAAUUAAUCUAAAUUUUUAAAUUUAAAAUAAAUUACCUUAGGGAUAACAGCGUAAUUUUUCUUUAAAGUUCUUAUUAAAAGGAAAGUUUGCGACCUCGAUGUUGGAUUAAAUUAAAUUUUUGGCGCAGUAGCUAAAGGAUUAGGUCUGUUCGACCUUUAAUAUUUUACAUGAUCUGAGUUUAAACCGGUGUAAGCCAGGUUGGAUUCUAUCUUUAAUUUUAUAGCAUAUUUUAGUACGAAAGGACCAUAUAUACAUUAAAGAUUAAUUG